RNAcentral lists this non-coding RNA (21 nucleotides) under Arabidopsis thaliana (thale cress). The record is from RNAcentral. Lineage: Eukaryota; Viridiplantae; Streptophyta; Magnoliopsida; Brassicales; Brassicaceae.
GUAAGAGGAUUUCAGAUGCUG